CCUGACUCAUGAAGCGUGGAGCGACCCAGGAACAUCCCAGCUCCUCAUGUCCCACAUUCUUCAGGCUUUCUCUUAGUUUUGGCAUGUGCAUGUAAAUGUCAACAGGCAUGGUGGCUCACACGUGUAAUUCUAGCACUUUGGGAGGCCGAGGCAGGUGGAGCACCUGAGGUCAGGAGUUCAAGACCAGCCUGGUCAACAUGGCGAAACCCCGUCUCUACUAAAAAUACGAAAUUAGCCAGGCGUGGUGGCGGACGCCUGUAAUCCCAGCUAUAAUCCCAGCUACUCAGGAGGCUGAAGCAGGAGAAUCGCUUGAACCUGGGAGGCAGAGCUUGCAGUGAGCCGAGAUCACGCCACUACACUGCAGCCUGGGUGACAGAGUGAGACUCCAUCUCAAAAAACAACAACAAAAUAAAUAAAUAAAUAAAAAUAAAAUGUCUUGUUCUCUUUUUUCCUCCAGUGCCCAGAUCAGCGCCUGAUAUAUACUUGGCACACAAUAACCACUCUUGAAAUUCAUGAAGGAAUCUGGACAUUUAGGGGGUUCACAGAAUCCGCCGCUUUUAGGGAAGAUUCUCUGCCUGAUGUGUGAGCGCUCUAACCUCUUCAUCUGUGUUCAGUCCCCUUGCAAUGCUUCUCUAAGAUCAAUAAAGGCAAAAACCAGGAGAUCCCAUAAAUCCCGCUGAGCCUGUCAUAGCUAUCAAAUUAUACCCAGAUAAAGCUUCUGGUGGCUAAUGACAUGGCCAUCACCCAGCGUGGACGUGGGCAGGAGGGGCUCUCCGGGAGCAUCUGGUCUGCUGUGGAGACACUUGUCAUCUGGAGGCUCUGUGGCUCUAAUGGAGGGUGAUGCUUUGAACGCGACUAUCUCCCCCAUAAAAAAAUAAAUAAAUAAUAAGUAUAAUUUAAAAAUAAACAAAGAUCUGGAUUUGCAGGCU
Molecule: long non-coding RNA, 929 nt
Filed under: Homo sapiens (human)
Lineage: Eukaryota; Metazoa; Chordata; Mammalia; Primates; Hominidae
Description: HSALNT0290058
Source: RNAcentral